This 126-nucleotide small RNA is filed under the name Marmota monax (woodchuck). The record is from RNAcentral. Lineage: Eukaryota; Metazoa; Chordata; Mammalia; Rodentia; Sciuridae.
GCUGGGCACAGUGGUGCUCGCCUGUAAUCCCAGCAGCUGGGAAGGCUGAGACAGGAGGAUCUUGAUUUCAAAGCCAACCUCAGCAACGGCGAGGCACUGAGCAGCUCAGUUGAGACCCUGUCUCUA